AGUGAACGCUGGCGGUAGGCCUAACACAUGCAAGUCGAACGGCAGCACAGUAAGAGCUUGCUCUUACGGGUGGCGAGUGGCGGACGGGUGAGGAAUACAUCGGAAUCUACUUUUUCGUGGGGGAUAACGUAGGGAAACUUACGCUAAUACCGCAUACGACCUACGGGUGAAAGCAUGGGAUCUUCGGACCUUGCGCGAUUGAAUGAGCCGAUGUCGGAUUAGCUAGUUGGCGGGGUAAAGGCCCACCAAGGCGACGAUCCGUAGCUGGUCUGAGAGGAUGAUCAGCCACACUGGAACUGAGACACGGUCCAGACUCCUACGGGGGGCAGCAGUGGGGAAUAUUGGACAAUGGGCGCAAGCCUGAUCCAGCCAUACCGCGUGGGUGAAGAAGGCCUUCGGGUUGUAAAGCCCUUUUGUUGGGAAAGAAAAGCAGCAGGUUAAUACCCCGCUGUUCUGACGGUACCCAAAGAAUAAGCACCGGCUAACUUCGUG
RNAcentral lists this ribosomal RNA (492 nucleotides) under uncultured bacterium. RNAcentral's name for it is "partial 16S ribosomal RNA". It matches the Rfam family "Bacterial small subunit ribosomal RNA", at positions 29 to 507 of the family's 1533-position model. The record is from RNAcentral.